CCCUUAGAUGUUCUGGGCCGCACGCGCGCUACACUGACGGAGGCAGCGAGCGUGUCCUUCGCCGGCAGGUGCGGGCAAUCUUGCGAGUCUCCGUCGUGCUGGGGAUAGAUGGUUGCAAUUGUCGAUCUUGAACGAGGAAUUCCUAGUAAGCGCGAGUCAUCAGCUCGCGCUGAUUACGUCCCUGCCCUUUGUACACACCGCCCGUCGCUACUACAGAGUGCCCGUGUCCAAGAAACGGUCGGACCUGUGCGGCCUCUCCGGGCGACCGGAGGGCCGUUACGGGGAAGACCCUUUACUUGACGCGGGUCGAUGAAGUAAAAGUCGUAACA
Molecule: ribosomal RNA, 329 nt
Filed under: uncultured eukaryote
Lineage: Eukaryota
Description: partial 18S ribosomal RNA
Rfam family: Eukaryotic small subunit ribosomal RNA
Source: RNAcentral